CUUAACUUGGGAGGAGGAAGCCACUUUUAAAGGGAGAGUCACCCUUCCCCCAUUGGACUAGUCUUUUGGGGCGAUUGGGCCUUUCCCUGAGUUGGGUGUGCCUAAUGAACUGUUGGGCUCCGGGCAACCCUAAUUUGUUGGGCCUCGGCCAACCCCACCUGGGCUGAGUGUAUCAUCUGGUAUCAGAGCUAGGGCCCAUUUUAAGAAGGUGGGAAUGAUGAGGACAUCCUCCACUAUUACCGUUGGCAAAGACACAAUUGGCCCAGUUAGCCCAAUUGUAGUCGGAUGACGACCGUGUGAGCCUCAGAAUUAUCCCACCUCGCUUAACUUGGGAGGAGGAAGCCACUUUAAAAGGGAGAGCCACCCUUCUCCCAUUGGACUAGUCUUUUGGGGCGAUUGGGCCUUUCCCUGAGUUGGGUGUGCUUAAUGAACUGUUGGGCUCCGGGCAACCCUAAUUUGUUGGGCCUCGGCCAACCCCACCUGGGCUGGGUGUAUCAAUGGUGAUCCUUAAAGAACAUGCCAACCCAAUCCCUAUCGCCCCCAAAAAUAGAGAUUUGCUUCCACCCCAAUCCCCAUCCUCGGCGGCACCGCUCUCCAAUCCCCAUCCAUUGGCGGUCCAAUCCUUGGCAGCGGUGCUCAGCUCUCCUUAUGUGGCCGCCCAACACCUGCCCCAUCUUAAAGCCGAGCCUGUAGAUAUGGCACUCGUGCUGCGCCUGCGCCUGCUUGUCUCUUCUACUAUCGUCGUCAGUCGGCUCUUGUUUGUGCUGUGUGAGUGCCCUAGUGCCGACGCCGAACUCAAGGCCCGUGUGUUGCGAGGAUGUUGGCUGAUUAUACAUUGUCAGGUUGAUGUUCUUAUAUGUAAC
Molecule: long non-coding RNA, 863 nt
Filed under: Zea mays
Lineage: Eukaryota; Viridiplantae; Streptophyta; Magnoliopsida; Poales; Poaceae
Description: long non-coding RNA (ZMAY_LNC003097)
Source: RNAcentral